UGAGUAACACGUGGGUAACCUGCCUGUAAGACUGGGAUAACUCGGGAAACCGGGGCUAAUACCGGAUAACUUUUUUCUUCGCAUGARGGAGAAUUGAAAGAUGGCYUCGGCUAUCACUUACAGAUGGACCCGCGGCGCAUUAGCUAGUUGGUGAGGUAACGGCUCACCAAGGCGACGAUGCGUAGCCGACUUGAGAGGGUGAUCGGCCACACUGGGACUGAGACACGGCCCAGACUCCUACGGGAGGCAGCAGUAGGGAAUCUUCCGCAAUGGACGAAAGUCUGACGGAGCAACGCCGCGUGAGUGAUGAAGGUUUUCGGAUCGUAAAACUCUGUUGUUAAACAAGUAUCGUUCGAAUAGGGCGGUACCUCGGUACCUAACCAGAAGCCACGGCUAACUACGUGCCAGCAGCCGCGGUAAUACGUAGGUGGCAAGCGUUGUCGGAAUAUUGGGCGUAAAGCGCGCGCAGGCGGUUUCUUAAGUCUGAUGUGAAAUCUUGCGGCUCAACCGCAAGCCAUUGGAAACUGGGAGACUUGAGUGCAGAAGAGGAGAGUGGAAGUCCACGUGUAGCGGUGAAAUGCGUAGAGAUGUGGAGGAACACCAGUGGCGAAGGCGACUCUCUGGUCUGUAACUGACGCUGAGGCGCGACAGCGUGGGGAGCGAACAGGAUUAGAUACCCUGGUAGUCCACGCCGUAAACGAWRARUGSUAAGUGUUAGAGGGUUUCCGCCCUUUAGUGCUGCAGCUAACGGCAUUAAGCAYUCCG
This 765-nucleotide ribosomal RNA is filed under the name Bacillus sp. (in: firmicutes). RNAcentral's name for it is "bacterial SSU rRNA". It matches the Rfam family "Bacterial small subunit ribosomal RNA", at positions 107 to 871 of the family's 1533-position model. Lineage: Bacteria; Bacillati; Bacillota; Bacilli; Caryophanales; Bacillaceae. The record is from RNAcentral.